CUAGCAAUAGCAAGCUAAUCUCUUAAAUUUCGCCUCAGUUCAGAUUGGGGUCUGCAACCCGACCCCAUGAAGUCGGAAUUGCUAGUAAUCGCGGAUCAGCGUGCCGCGGUGAAUACGUUCUCGGGUCUUGUACACAAGGUCC
RNAcentral lists this ribosomal RNA (142 nucleotides) under Candidatus Daviesbacteria bacterium. RNAcentral describes it as "partial 16S ribosomal RNA". It matches the Rfam family "Bacterial small subunit ribosomal RNA", at positions 1254 to 1395 of the family's 1533-position model. The record is from RNAcentral. Lineage: Bacteria; Candidatus Daviesiibacteriota.